Molecule: ribosomal RNA, 116 nt
Filed under: Pteropus alecto (black flying fox)
Lineage: Eukaryota; Metazoa; Chordata; Mammalia; Chiroptera; Pteropodidae
Source: RNAcentral
GUCUAUGGCCAUGCCACCCUGAACAAGCCUGAUGUCUGAUCUCAGAAACUAAGCAGGGUUGGGCCUGGUUAGUACUUGGAUGGGAGACCACCUAGGAAGACCAGGUGCUGUAGGCA